CAGGCAACGUCUUCGUAAUAGCGGCGAUUGUGAUGGAGAGGAACCUUCAGUCGGUGGCCAACUAUCUGAUUCUCUCGCUAGCCGUAGCCGAUCUUCUGGUUGCCUGCCUUGUCAUGCCUCUGGGAGCCGUGUACGAGGUCGCCCACAAGUGGGCGCUCGGGCCUGAGUUAUGCGACAUGUGGACGAGUAGCGACGUGCUAUGCUGCACCGCUUCAAUCCUCCAUCUCGUAGCCAUUGCCCUGGACAGGUACUGGGCGGUGACGAACAUCGAUUACAUCCACCAAAGAACAGGACGUCGCAUAGGCAUGAUGAUAAUUGUGGUAUGGCUGGUUGCAUUUCUCGUUUGCAUAGCGCCGCUCCUCGGUUGGAAGGAUCCUUUAUGGGAGGAUCGCGUUAACAAAGAAAAAAAGUGCGUGGUCAGCCAAGAUGUUUAUUAUCAGAUAUUCGCGACGUCAUCGUCCUUUUACCUGCCACUCUGUGUCAUACUUAUCCUCUACUGGAGGAUAUUUCAAACUGCGAGGAAGCGCAUUAGGAAAAGACCCGGUCAGCCUGUAAAUCCACAAGCGACGCGACCGAUGGGCGGACCACCGAGGCAGAUGGGUAGCAGUCACGCCGUGGGCGGUGCACUUGCCCAAGCCCAAGCUUCCGGCGGUAUCGCCGCAGCCGUCGUAGCAGUUAUCGGCCGACCUCUGCCUACCAUAUCCGUAGAGACAACCACAACAGCAUUCACGAACGUAAGCUCGACGAAUACAUCACCCGAGAAGACAUCGUAUCACAAUGGCUUGGAACCAGAACCAUCGACGAUGGAGGCGUCACCACGACCAACACUUACACGUCGUAAGAAAGUCACCGCUGACUCGAAACGAGAGCGCAAAGCGGCGAAAACACUUGCCAUUAUCACGGGUGCUUUCGUCGUCUGUUGGCUGCCUUUUUUCGUCUUGGCCAUCGUUAUGUCGGCCUGCACGGACUGCUACAUCAACCCCUAUUUAAUUGCCUUCCUACAGUGGUUGGGGUACUUCAACUCGACCCUCAACCCGAUCAUCUACACGGUCUUCUCGCCGGAAUUUCGCAACGCCUUCAAGAAGAUCCUGUGCAGACAUCGUCGUGGAGUGAAUCGGCGCCUACGUGUGCGCCACUACAUGUAGGAUUGGGUGUAUCUGACGGCCCUCUCGCCUCGCGUGCGUAAUAACGACGAGCCGAGUUUACCGAAUACUGCCAUUCGCACGAUCAACGGUCGUCGCAGCCGGCGUAGUCGCCAGAGACGCCAACGAGCCUUUUGAGAGUGCACAGACUCGUUCUCGACUAGGACGGCGGAAAAGAGGGACACACGCCUAUACUCGCGCGCGCUGCUGCAGCUUUCACGAAUUUCUGCCGCUACCGCUUUCUUCUCGCUUUCCAUUUGGCUCGCUUCAGAGUCAAAAAGAAACGUUUUCCAACGGAUUUAUGCCGAAUGGAGCUCGGGCGCGGGCCUUUUCUUCUCCUGUGACAACCGACAACCUACUUUUCGGCAUGCUUUCCAUCCAAAUUGACGCAAGCAUGCCGAUUCUCGUGAUCAUUUCGCGAGAAAGCGAGGCAAUAAAGAAACUGCCGGCAUUUGAAUAAUUAAUCAUGAGUCAGCAGAAGAAUCGCAGGAGAGAAAGGCGAGAGUGGCAGCGAGGCAAGCUUCAGCUCUUUGGCCCAUAAAACAUUCAGAUUUAGCUCCCGUAAAACAACCUGUGGCGCGUGCGUAAUGCCCGAGCUAAAGCCUCGCGCGAACGCGCGUAAAAGCGAGAAGAAAGAAGAAGAGUCGGAUGAUCGCGGCGCAAUAAAAGCGGCGCCGGAUUUAUCUGCAUCGCCAUAAAACGCGCUAGAAGAGGCGAGAGGCCGGCAACGAUCGAGCCGAGUUUGCAGUUUCAAGCGCAAAGAAUUUUCAUCAAAAUACUCUUCUCUCGGCUCGCCAAACCAAAGGACAAGGAAACUCAAACUUAUUCAGCGCAUACGACUGAUGCAAAUGAAUCCCCUAUCGUAGAUAUAGUACAGCAGCCAAACCAAACGAGACGAAGCUUCGCAACGAAGCGCAAGCUCUAUCAAAUUAUCAAAAUGCCGAUGUCUUUUCUACGAUGUUCUAUACGGCGCGCCUUACCUCUUAAGUAUACAUCUUCCCAGUCGUGUACAUAUCGAAAUAAUUAGCCUGAAAGAAGUGCCGCUACCGAAAGCCAAUGUUUAUUUUCGUUUUACUUUCAUUCUUUGUUUUAUUUCAUUCAGUAAUAUUCAGUGAUCGUAUGAAACGAACUUUCAAUUAUUUUUAUACGAAAUGCUUGUGUAUAAAUUAUCAUAUUGAAGAAUCAUUCCAACAAAUCACUUUAUAAUUAAUGUUUUUUUACGUAUUUUUUUAUUGGUGUCGAGAGGCGUAAACGUUUAUAUUAAAAUCUUCAUGUGUAGAUUAAAAAAAUAUUAUUAGCUCAUAUGUUAAUGUUAACUAUGUCGAAAGAGUUUCCAAGGUAAACCAAUUAAACAAUCGAAAUCUAUUCCGUAUUGUUAGAUAAACUACUUAAAAGCGAGAGCUAUUAAAUUUGACCGAGUUUGCGGUACAAGCCAUAUUAUCACAAUGACAGUAGUCACUGUACUGAUUCAUAUAGAAAUAUACUUUUUCUAGAAGAUUCAUACAUUUCCAAUCACAUCAUUCCUUUUACGAUACGAAGGCUAUCUCUUACAAUCUUGUUGAUAGAGCUAUCAGAUUAUCGCAUUUCAAAUAUCAUACUCAUAAUAUAAAAUUGGUGAAAAAGUUACUAAAAAAUAACGGUUAGCCUGACGACAUUAGCCCAAAAACCAUACAACAUAGAUUACACUGCAUACACACUGAACAAAAGAUAAUAGAUAAAAAAUUAUUAUGUCAUUAACAAAUGAAUUAAUAAAUUUUCUAAGUUUAUUAUAUUAGGCAAGAAUAAAUAGCUCUAUGUGCAAAGUCAUUUAUGAAAUCAAUUAUCAGAAUUGCAAUAUAUCAUUCGUUGAAAAAAUAACUCGAAUACUACAUAAAUGUAGAAAUUAACGCAAACUCUAUUUAGAAAACAAUGAUAGUAAAUCAAUAUUAGCACAACAUACGUUGGAAGAGAAACACAAUAUUAAUUUUGAUAAAGUUGAAUUAUUAGAUGGCGAAAACAACAAACCGAAACUUGCAUUUUCCGAGACGCUCCAUAUCUAUAAUAACAAAUACAGUCUAAAUAAAGUCUACGAUACUAUUAAGUUGAAAAGCAGCUUUAAGACUUCUGUGGGCAUAGUUAACACAGUCGUUUUUUAACAAAUCUCGGAUCGUACGCAUCCGAAAAAACGACAACGUAAUUAUUAGCCUAAUCAAUAGCUUCCAUACGCACACACAUAUCUUGCGGUUUGAGUCACCUUAUUGCUGUCUAUUCAUGUUUUCCUUUCACUUUGACUUCACGGCCCAACCCAAUUUCUUAUCCCUAUCUUUAAUGUUCUAAGUACUUCAAUCCCUCCAAAGCCACUGAACCACCGUUUGUUCAUUCUGACUCUCGCUAGAUAUCUUCUAGCAUGAAAGUAAAAUUAUCGAUGUACAUUUAUCACAAUAUUGACUUUUAUCGUUCUAAAUACGAUACCGCAAGAAUUGUAGGUGUUGAAAGUUCAAUUAAAAAAUGUAUUUAAUUGUUUGCACAAGUCUUGGCUUGCUUUUCAAUUUUUACACAAUUAAUCUCCAUUUGGUGUGCUUACUAAAUGUAUUGACAUUAAUGUAUUGAGAGGUAUUUAACUAACUGCAAAAGUGCGAAUUAUGCAUGAAUUAUUUAAUGAAUGGUGAGACAUGUACUUUGUGAUUUCGAUAUAAUUGAUUAUAAUUUUUAUUCGUUGCUUUAGAUAUCGCGAACAAGAAAACACGAAGAGUUUUCGAAACAUAUGUGGAAAUUUUUAAGUAAAUAAAAAUUGCUCAGUAGGAUUCGAUUGAUUAAUUGCAAACCACUAACACAAUUAGUGGCAUUACGAGUAUUCUGAAAGAAAAAGAAGCCAUAUUUGAAAAUUUCGUUAAAGGAAAAGAGAUUGUGAGAAAAUAUUCGCUAAAAAUGUUUUCGUCAGAGCGUAUUUCUUUUACAUCCUCGAUCUCUCUGUCCAACCAGAGUGUAGUAUAAAGACAAACUAAACUCUUCCGUCAACCGCAGGCGUACACACAGAAAAGGGACUAAAAUACUAGGUAGUCGAAAUGUAUAAUGUAUCGAGGUGUCAUAAUUUCUGCUUACCUGGAACACACUUGCAAAGAAUAAACUCGCCGAGGAAGAAUAAAGAUACUUAUAUUUAACCUUUUUUUCUCGUUGACAUCUCUUGAAGGUGGCGUUCAAAAAAAUUGAAAGAUUUAGAGAUUGAUAUAUAAACUCGUCGUUGUACAUAAUAUGGUGUUUGAAUGAUUAUUCAAAAUUGUUGGUGAAUGCAUUUCUAAAUUUUGUAUAAUCAGUUCCAUGUUACAUAGGUUGAUAAAUUACGAACUCGCGAUUGGAAGGUAAUUAUUUAUAGUCAAUAUAAAUUUCUCAUUCAUAUAAAAAAUUUGUAAUUGAAAUUUUAUAAUUUUUACAAUUACAAGGUUAAACAUACCGAACCAAUUGUGCUUCUCUGGCACUAAAACUGAGAUGAAUGUAGGCAUGCAUAUAUUAAAAAAUGUAAAAAAUUGAAAUACGAAGUCUCAAGUCAUUAGAAACUGAAGCACUGUAAAUAAUACUCCAACAAAUAAAGAAAUGUUUUUAGCUAUGCAGUAAAAACUUGCAGGGCAACAGGUUUUCACACCAAUCUAUAAAUAAUCAAAAAACAUAAGACCUUUAUUUUUGAAAGCAAUCUUCGUGUUCCAUGCAGCUGUAGAUCGUUUUCUGUAAAUUCCUCAUCUAAAUUAAAGUAACAAGUUGCCUUCAUUCACAUUCCAUUUCUACUUUCCUAUCGGAAACAAACUAUAAAACACUCGUCAACAACUGUUUUGAUGAUUAUAACUACAAACUAUUUUUCAACAAAACAAUAAAAAAAGUAAGAGAAAAUGAAUAUAAAUGGCAAUAAGGUACUUAGUACUGUAUGUUAAUACACUAUAAUUUUUUAAUGAUUGCAUUAGUCUGAUUUAUAGAACAGCAAAAGAGCUUUCGUUGAACGAAACUAUAUAAUAAAGUAAAUAAGUAUUAUCAAAAUAUUCUGUGAUUGGCUAACUAAAGAAAUAAAUAGCGCUACCGAUCACCUAUUAUGUAUAUAUCAUGCGAAGAUAAAAUCAUCGAGAACCCAUAUAGCCUUCAACACGUUGAUGGACUUUCCAAAGUAACGAAUCAACAGAAAAAACUGAGAUGUACAAAAACCUCUCGUUAUCCACGAACAAUUCUAAAUGUACUAUUUAUAUGCGAAUACUCUUUGUACGUAUAUAAAAACUAUCCUAAAUUGUUUUUGUGAUACUGUUAAAAUAAGCGAACGUUGAGAAAACAAAAACAAAAAUGGAUUUUAUCAAAAAUAUGUAUAUGUACGCAAAUGAGACAAAAAAAAACGAAUGUAAAAUUCUAUAACUGUUGCAAAUAAUAAUUGUACCAUACGACAAAUAUACGAUUGUUUUCUUAUUUUUAUCUCUACUAAACGUGACUGAAAGUGUAAAUAUGAAAAUAUUCCUGUUAGUGUAUAACCAAAACUCAAUAUAACAGUACCUUCGCGAGCUUAUGGCAAUGAAAGCUCCAUCAUGGUAAUUGCAAGGAAUAAUUACACGAGAUACACUUAUAUCCUCGAGUUUCGCCAAGUGUAAGUGCCCAUCGUUCAGAUCCUACGUUCUACGUAAAGGCUGCGCUCAGAUAGUAGAAUCGUUCUACAUGACGUAACGAGUUCGAGUUUACGGUUAAUUAGCCGAUUUAACAUUUCAGUUUUAUAAUAAUAUGCUACUUGAAACGGCUGAAAUAAGCUUAAAAACAUGAAAUCCCUAGAAGUAAUUAACAGUAUAGUCUCAAAUAAAAGUGUCUCUCGAUUUAGAGUAUCGAAUAUGAGGAGCGCACAAAGAAAUGCGUCGUCCGCAAGAUCUGAAAUAAGGGACAAGGAGAAUGAACCAAACGAGGUUUUCGAGUGCAAUAUCGCUGUCCAUUCUUGAGAUGACAAAUUGGCACGCAAUAUUCGGCUGAAAAUCUUGAUGAAACUGAAUGAAACUUUAAUAACACUCCGAAUGAACGUAGAGAAAACUUGAUUUUCAGCCGAGGCAAAGCGUCCCUAUAUGCGCGCAAGCCAGCUGUCUGUUUUGAAGUAAGUAUCCUUGGCGUUGCGCGCGUAGGUUAACUUUCCUUAAUGUAACUUUCAGUAUCAAUACUUUCCGCGAACUGAGGCUUAUACUUACUUCAGUGAAGCUCGAAAACUACUUAGACCUCUUCCGUAACCUACGACGUUGCAGCCGCACACAACAUGGAUACCUCGAUAUAGAUACUUUUUCGUCUCUUGGUCGCCCAGGAAGAAAAAGAAAGUCGAAAGAGAGAGAGAGAACUUCGUCUGUACCGCACGUCCACCAUAUAAAUAAUAAAAACUCGCAGUUCUGUGCUAUAUGCUCUGUCAUGUAUCGACAAUGAGGCAGUGUUUUCUCAGAGUGAAACUCGUAAAAAACGCGAUACUGGAUAAGGAUAUUGCAAGUUUCGUGUUUUUUCCUAUCUCGCGGGGGAAGAUCGUCCAGUUAGGAAAUAUCUUUUCUGUAUUUACAAGCCACUAAUAUAGUAUACGCACGCAAAAAAUGGGUUUUGUGAUGAUUGUUACUGAUGAUAAAUAAAGAAGCUUACAGGUGAAAG
Phymastichus coffea is the source of this 6755-nucleotide RNA transcript. It is a transcript of the gene named 5-hydroxytryptamine receptor-like, with no coding region annotated. The transcript is spliced from 8 exons. The record is from RefSeq and is a predicted model, not a curated record. Lineage: Eukaryota; Metazoa; Arthropoda; Insecta; Hymenoptera; Eulophidae.